CAGUCGCCGCGGGAAUACGAAGGGUGCAAGCGUUAAUCGGAAUUACUGGGCGUAAAGCGUGCGUAGGCGGUGAGUUAAGUCUGCUGUGAAAUCCCCGGGCUCAACCUGGGAAUGGCAGUGGAUACUGGCUCGCUAGAGUGUGUCAGAGGAUGGUGGAAUUCCCGGUGUAGCGGUGAAAUGCGUAGAGAUCGGGAGGAACAUCAGUGGCGAAGGCGGCCAUCUGGGACAACACUGACGCUGAGGCACGAAAGCGUGGGGAGCAAACAGGAUUAGAUACCCCGGUAGUCCCUGUCUCUUAUAA
This 301-nucleotide ribosomal RNA is filed under the name uncultured bacterium. RNAcentral describes it as "partial 16S ribosomal RNA". It matches the Rfam family "Bacterial small subunit ribosomal RNA", at positions 509 to 809 of the family's 1533-position model. The record is from RNAcentral.